Molecule: ribosomal RNA, 465 nt
Filed under: Weissella confusa
Lineage: Bacteria; Bacillati; Bacillota; Bacilli; Lactobacillales; Lactobacillaceae
Description: bacterial SSU rRNA
Rfam family: Bacterial small subunit ribosomal RNA
Source: RNAcentral
CCUACGGGGGGCUGCAGUGGGGAAUUUUGGACAAUGGGCGCAAGCCUGAUCCAGCCAUUCCGCGUGAGUGAAGAAGGCCUUCGGGUUGUAAAGCUCUUUCGCAAGGGAAGAAAACUUAUCCUCUAACAUAGGAUGAGGUUGACGGUACCUUGAUAAGAAGCACCGGCUAACUACGUGCCAGCAGCCGCGGUAAUACGUAGGGUGCGAGCGUUAAUCGGAAUUACUGGGCGUAAAGCGUGCGCAGGCGGUUUUGUAAGUCAGAUGUGAAAUCCCCGAGCUCAACUUGGGAACUGCGUUUGAAACUACAAGACUAGAAUAUGUCAGAGGGGGGUAGAAUUCCACGUGUAGCAGUGAAAUGCGUAGAUAUGUGGAGGAAUACCAAUGGCGAAGGCAGCCCCCUGGGAUAAUAUUGACGCUCAUGCACGAAAGCGUGGGGAGCAAACAGGAUUAGAUACCCGGGUAGUC